UUGGAGGGCAAGUCUGGUGCCAGCAGCCGCGGUAAUUCCAGCUCCAAUAGCGUAUAUUAAAGUUGUUGCAGUUAAAAAGCUCGUAGUUGAAUUUCGGGAUCAAUUUAUCGGUCGUGCCUCUGGUAUGCACUGGUAUUAUUGAUUUCUACCUUCUGACGAACCAUGAUGUCAUUAAUUUGGUGUCAUGGGGAAACAGGACUGUUACUUUGAAAAAAUUAGAGUGUUUAAAGCAGGCUAACGCUUGAAUACAUUAGCAUGGGAUAAUGAAAUAGGACGUUUGAUCCUAUUUUGUUGGUUUCUAGGAUUGACGUAAUGAUUAAUAGGGAUAGUUGGGGCAUUAGUAUUCAAUUGUCAGAGGUGAAAUUCUUGGAUUUAUUGAAGACUAACUACUGCGAAAGCAUUUGCCAAGGAUGUUUUCAUUAAUCAAGAACGAAAGUUAGGGGAUCGAAGACGAUCAGAUACCGUCGUAGUCUUAACCAUAAACUAUGCCGACUAGGGAUCGGAUGAUGUUAAUUUUUUAAUGACUCAUUCGGCGCCUUACGGGAAAC
RNAcentral lists this ribosomal RNA (548 nucleotides) under uncultured Glomeromycotina. RNAcentral's name for it is "SSU rRNA". It matches the Rfam family "Eukaryotic small subunit ribosomal RNA", at positions 548 to 1098 of the family's 1831-position model. Lineage: Eukaryota; Fungi; Glomeromycota. The record is from RNAcentral.